This 424-nucleotide ribosomal RNA is filed under the name Verrucomicrobiota bacterium. Its description in RNAcentral is "Verrucomicrobia bacterium partial 16S ribosomal RNA". It matches the Rfam family "Bacterial small subunit ribosomal RNA", at positions 355 to 776 of the family's 1533-position model. The record is from RNAcentral. Lineage: Bacteria; Pseudomonadati; Verrucomicrobiota.
UGAGGAAUAUUGGUCAAUGGACGGAAGUCUGAACCAGCCAAGUAGCGUGCAGGAUGACGGCCCUAUGGGUUGUAAACUGCUUUUAUAUGGGGAUAAAGUGGGGAACGUGUUCCCUUUUGCAGGUACCAUAUGAAUAAGGACCGGCUAAUUCCGUGCCAGCAGCCGCGGUAAUACGGAAGGUUCGGGCGUUAUCCGGAUUUAUUGGGUUUAAAGGGAGCGUAGGCCGUUUGGUAAGCGUGUUGUGAAAUGUAGGAGCUCAACUUCUAGAUUGCAGCGCGAACUGUCAGACUUGAGUGCGCACAACGUAGGCGGAAUUCAUGGUGUAGCGGUGAAAUGCUUAGAUAUCAUGAAGAACUCCGAUUGCGAAGGCAGCUUACGGGAGCGCAACUGACGCUGAAGCUCGAAGGUGCGGGUAUCGAACAGG